Molecule: ribosomal RNA, 253 nt
Filed under: uncultured bacterium
Lineage: Bacteria
Description: partial 16S ribosomal RNA
Rfam family: Bacterial small subunit ribosomal RNA
Source: RNAcentral
UACGUAGGUGACCAGCGUUGUCCGGAUUUACUGGGCGUAAAGAGCGCGCAGGCGGUCGUUCAAGUCGAGUGUGAAAGCCCCCGGCUCAACUGGGGAGGGUCACUUGAUACUGAUCGACUCGAAGGCAGGAGAGGGAAGCGGAAUUCCCGGUGUAGUGGUGAAAUGCGUAGAUAUCGGGAGGAACACCGAUGGCGAAGGCAGCUCGCUGGGAUAACACUGACGCUCAUGCACGAAAGCGUGGGGAGCAAACAGG